GUAGGUGGCAAGCGUUGUCCGGAAUUAUUGGGCGUAAAGCGCGCGCAGGCGGUUCUUUAAGUCUGAUGUGAAAGCCCACGGCUCAACCGUGGAGGGUCAUUGGAAACUGGAGAACUUGAGUACAGAAGAGGAAAGCGGAAUUCCACGUGUAGCGGUGAAAUGCGUAGAGAUGUGGAGGAACACCAGUGGCGAAGGCGGCUUUCUGGUCUGUAACUGACGCUGAGGCGCGAAAGCGUGGGGAGCAAACAGGGAUUAGAUACCCUGGUAGUCCACGCCGUAAACGAUGAGUGCUAAGUGUUAGGGGGGUUUCCGCCCCCUUAGUGCUGCAGCUAACGCAUUAAGCACUCCGCUGGGGAUACGGCCGCAAGGUUG
This 372-nucleotide ribosomal RNA is filed under the name uncultured organism. RNAcentral's name for it is "partial 16S ribosomal RNA". It matches the Rfam family "Bacterial small subunit ribosomal RNA", at positions 527 to 896 of the family's 1533-position model. The record is from RNAcentral.